RNAcentral lists this ribosomal RNA (452 nucleotides) under uncultured Sphingobacteriales bacterium. Its description in RNAcentral is "bacterial SSU rRNA". It matches the Rfam family "Bacterial small subunit ribosomal RNA", at positions 927 to 1382 of the family's 1533-position model. The record is from RNAcentral. Lineage: Bacteria; Pseudomonadati; Bacteroidota; Sphingobacteriia; Sphingobacteriales.
AAGCGGAGGAGCAUGUGGUUUAAUUCGAUGAUACGCGAGGAACCUUACCUGGGCUCAAAUGUAUGUUGACGUAUUCUGAAAGGGAUACUUCUUCGGACAAUAUACAAGGUGCUGCAUGGUUGUCGUCAGCUCGUGCCGUGAGGUGUCGGGUUAAGUCCCAUAACGAGCGCAACCCUAUCAUUAGUUGCCAUCAGGUCAAGCUGGGGACUCUAAUGAAACUGCCUACGCAAGUAGUGAGGAAGGUGGGGAUGACGUCAAAUCAGCACGGCCCUUACGUCCAGGGCUACACACGUGCUACAAUGGCCGGUACAAAGGGCAGCUACCUGGUGACAGGGUGCUAAUCUCAAAAGCCGGUCUCAGUUCGGAUCGGAGUCUGCAACCCGACUCCGUGAAGCUGGAAUCGCUAGUAAUCGCGCAUCAGCCAUGGCGCGGUGAAUACGUUCCCGGGCCUU